This 253-nucleotide ribosomal RNA is filed under the name uncultured bacterium. RNAcentral's name for it is "partial 16S ribosomal RNA". It matches the Rfam family "Bacterial small subunit ribosomal RNA", at positions 524 to 776 of the family's 1533-position model. The record is from RNAcentral.
AACGUAGGUACCGAGCGUUAUCCGGAUUUACUGGGCGUAAAGCGUGUUCAGGCGGCCUAGCAAGUCGGGCAUGAAAUCUCUCGGCUCAACCGGGAGAGGCUGUCCGAUACUGCUGGGCUUGAGGACGGUAGAGGGUGGUGGAAUUCCGCGUGUAGUGGUGAAAUGCGUAGAUAUGCGGAGGAACACCAGUGGCGAAGGCGGCCACCUGGACCGUCCCUGACGCUCAAACACGAAAGCUAGGGUAGCGAACGGG